This 2005-nucleotide ribosomal RNA is filed under the name Campylobacter jejuni. RNAcentral describes it as "partial 23S ribosomal RNA". It matches the Rfam family "Bacterial large subunit ribosomal RNA", at positions 1 to 1962 of the family's 2925-position model. Lineage: Bacteria; Pseudomonadati; Campylobacterota; Epsilonproteobacteria; Campylobacterales; Campylobacteraceae. The record is from RNAcentral.
AAAAAAGGUAAGCUACUAAGAGCGAAUGGUGGAUGCCUUGACUGGUAAAGGCGAUGAAGGACGUACUAGACUGCGAUAAGCUACGGGGAGCUGUCAAGAAGCUUUGAUCCGUAGAUUUCCGAAUGGGGCAACCCAAUGUAUAGAGAUAUACAUUACCUAUAUAGGAGCGAACGAGGGGAAUUGAAACAUCUUAGUACCCUCAGGAAAAGAAAUCAAUAGAGAUUGCGUCAGUAGCGGCGAGCGAAAGCGCAAGAGGGCAAACCCAGUGCUUGCACUGGGGGUUGUAGGACUGCAAUGUGCAAGAGCUGAGUUUAGCAGAACAUUCUGGAAAGUAUAGCCAUAGAGGGUGAUAGUCCCGUAUGCGAAAAACAAAGCUUAGCUAGCAGUAUCCUGAGUAGGGCGGGACACGAGGAAUCCUGUCUGAAUCCGGGUCGACCACGAUCCAACCCUAAAUACUAAUACCAGAUCGAUAGUGCACAAGUACCGUGAGGGAAAGGUGAAAAGAACUGAGGUGAUCAGAGUGAAAUAGAACCUGAAACCAUUUGCUUACAAUCAUUCAGAGCACUAUGUAGCAAUACAGUGUGAUGGACUGCCUUUUGCAUAAUGAGCCUGCGAGUUGUGGUGUCUGGCAAGGUUAAGCAAACGCGAAGCCGUAGCGAAAGCGAGUCUGAAUAGGGCGCUUAGUCAGAUGCUGCAGACCCGAAACGAAGUGAUCUAUCCAUGAGCAAGUUGAAGCUAGUGUAAGAACUAGUGGAGGACUGAACCCAUAGGCGUUGAAAAGCCCCGGGAUGACUUGUGGAUAGGGGUGAAAGGCCAAUCAAACUUCGUGAUAGCUGGUUCUCUCCGAAAUAUAUUUAGGUAUAGCGUUGUGUCGUAAUAUAAGGGGGUAGAGCACUGAAUGGGCUAGGGCAUACACCAAUGUACCAAACCCUAUCAAACUCCGAAUACCUUAUAUGUAAUCACAGCAGUCAGGCGGCGAGUGAUAAAAUCCGUCGUCAAGAGGGAAACAACCCAGACUACCAGCUAAGGUCCCUAAAUCUUACUUAAGUGGAAAACGAUGUGAAGUUACUUAAACAACCAGGAGGUUGGCUUAGAAGCAGCCAUCCUUUAAAGAAAGCGUAAUAGCUCACUGGUCUAGUGAUUUUGCGCGGAAAAUAUAACGGGGCUAAAGUAAGUACCGAAGCUGUAGACUUGCACACAACUUAGAUUAUUUAAGUUUAGAAUAAGUAGUUUAAGUUGUGUGCAAGUGGUAGGAGAGCGUUCUAUUUGCGUCGAAGGUAUACCGGUAAGGAGUGCUGGAGCGAAUAGAAGUGAGCAUGCAGGCAUGAGUAGCGAUAAUUAAUGUGAGAAUCAUUAACGCCGUAAACCCAAGGUUUCCUACGCGAUGCUCGUCAUCGUAGGGUUAGUCGGGUCCUAAGUCGAGUCCGAAAGGGGUAGACGAUGGCAAAUUGGUUAAUAUUCCAAUACCAACAUUAGUGUGCGAUGGAAGGACGCUUAGGGCUAAGGGGGCUAGCGGAUGGAAGUGCUAGUCUAAGGUUGUAGGAGGUUAUACAGGCAAAUCCGUAUAACAAUACUCCGAGAACUGAAAGGCUUUUUGAAGUCUUCGGAUGGAUAGAAGAACCCCUGAUGCCGUCGAGCCAAGAAAAGUUUCUAAGUUUAGCUAAUGUUGCCCGUACCGUAAACCGACACAGGUGGGUGGGAUGAGUAUUCUAAGGCGCGUGGAAGAACUCUCUUUAAGGAACUCUGCAAAAUAGCACCGUAUCUUCGGUAUAAGGUGUGGUUAGCUUCGUACUAGGAUUUACUCCGAAAGCGAAGAAACUUACAACAAAGAGUCCCUCCCGACUGUUUACCAAAAACACAGCACUCUGCUAACUCGUAAGAGGAUGUAUAGGGUGUGACGCCUGCCCGGUGCUCGAAGGUUAAUUGAUGGGGUUAGCAUUAGCGAAGCUCUUGAUCGAAGCCCGAGUAAACGGCGGCCGUAACUAUAACGGUCCUAAGGUAGCGA